GAUGAACGCUAGCGGCAGGCUUAACACAUGCAAGUCGAGGGGUAACAGGGAAGAGCUUGCUUUUCCGCUGACGACCGGCGCACGGGUGAGUAACGCGUAUAGAACCUACCUUUUACAGGGGAAUAGCCCAGAGAAAUUUGGAUUAAUGCCCUAUAGUAUUAUUGAAUGGCAUCAUUUAGUAAUUAAACAUUUAUGGGUAAAAGAUGGCUAUGCGUUCUAUUAGCUAGAUGGUAAGGUAACGGCUUACCAUGGCAACGAUAGAUAGGGGUCCUGAGAGGGAGAUCCCCCACACUGGUACUGAGACACGGACCAGACUCCUACGGGAGGCAGCAGUGAGGAAUAUUGGACAAUGGAGGCAACUCUGAUCCAGCCAUGCCGCGUGCAGGAAGACGGCCCUAUGGGUUGUAAACUGCUUUUAUACGGGAAGAAACCCAACUACGUGUAGUUGGCUGACGGUACCGUAAGAAUAAGCACCGGCUAACUCCGUGCCAGCAGCCGCGGUAAUACGGAGGGUGCAAGCGUUAUCCGGAAUCAUUGGGUUUAAAGGGUCCGUAGGCGGGCUAAUAAGUCAGGGGUGAAAUCCAACAGCUUAACUGUUGAACUGCCUUUGAUACUGUUAGUCUUGAAUUAUAUGGAAGUAGAUAGAAUGUGUAGUGUAGCGGUGAAAUGCUUAGAGAUUACACAGAAUACCGAUUGCGAAGGCAGUCUACUAC
RNAcentral lists this ribosomal RNA (713 nucleotides) under Lutibacter sp. RNAcentral describes it as "bacterial SSU rRNA". It matches the Rfam family "Bacterial small subunit ribosomal RNA", at positions 28 to 732 of the family's 1533-position model. The record is from RNAcentral. Lineage: Bacteria; Pseudomonadati; Bacteroidota; Flavobacteriia; Flavobacteriales; Flavobacteriaceae.